Molecule: ribosomal RNA, 253 nt
Filed under: uncultured bacterium
Lineage: Bacteria
Description: partial 16S ribosomal RNA
Rfam family: Bacterial small subunit ribosomal RNA
Source: RNAcentral
UACGGGGGGGGCAAGCGUUGUUCGGAAUUACUGGGCGUAAAGGGUGCGUAGGUGGCGAGGUAAGUUCGAUGUGAAAUCUCCGAGCUCAACUCGGAAAUGGCAUUGAAUACUAUCCCGCUUGAGGGUCGGAGGGGAGACUGGAAUUUACGGUGUAGCAGUGAAAUGCGUAGAGAUCGUAAGGAAGACCAGUGGCGAAGGCGAGUUUCUGGACGGUAACUGACGCUGAGGCACGAAGGCCAGGGGAGCAAACGGG